RNAcentral lists this ribosomal RNA (616 nucleotides) under Colletotrichum sp. R033. RNAcentral's name for it is "eukaryotic LSU rRNA". The stretch from base 244 to 397 matches the Rfam family "5.8S ribosomal RNA". Lineage: Eukaryota; Fungi; Ascomycota; Sordariomycetes; Glomerellales; Glomerellaceae. The record is from RNAcentral.
AGUAAANNNUNNUAACAAGGUCUCCGUUGGUGAACCAGCGGAGGGAUCAUUACUGAGUUACCGCUCUAUAACCCUUUGUGAACAUACCUACAACUGUUGCUUCGGCGGGUAGGCCGUCCCCUGAAAAGGACGCCUCCCGGCCCGGACCGGACCCCCUGUGGGGCCGGACUCGGCGCCCGCCGGAGGAUAACCAAACGCUAUUUUAACGACGUUUCUUCUGAGUGGCAUAAGCAAAAUAAUCAAAACUUUUAACAACGGAUCUCUUGGUUCUGGCAUCGAUGAAGAACGCAGCGAAAUGCGAUAAGUAAUGUGAAUUGCAGAAUUCAGUGAAUCAUCGAAUCUUUGAACGCACAUUGCGCCCGCCAGCAUUCUGGCGGGCAUGCCUGUUCGAGCGUCAUUUCAACCCUCAAGCUCUGCUUGGUGUUGGGGCUCUACGGUCGACGUAGGCCCUCAAAGGUAGUGGCGGACCCUCCCGGAGCCUCCUUUGCGUAGUAACAUUUCGUCUCGCACUGGGAUCCGGAGGGACUCUUGCCGUAAAACCCCCCAAUUUUUCAAGGUUGACCUCGGAUCAGGUAGGAAUACCCGCUGAACUUAAGCAUAUCAAUAGNNGGANGAA